RNAcentral lists this ribosomal RNA (155 nucleotides) under uncultured archaeon. RNAcentral describes it as "partial 16S ribosomal RNA". The record is from RNAcentral.
AUUUUACCGCGGCUGCUGCACCAGUCUUACCCACCACUUAUUCUCUAAGAUAUUUACUCUUGGCAAAAGCUUAGUUAAACUAAGCACUUUGGGUUCCCCUCUCACGCCUGCGCGCAUUGGAAAGGUUUCGCGCCUGGUGCACCCCGUAGGGAAUC